This is a transfer RNA of Facklamia hominis, 73 nucleotides long. It matches the Rfam family "tRNA". Rfam says of the family: Transfer RNA (tRNA) molecules are approximately 80 nucleotides in length. Their secondary structure includes four short double-helical elements and three loops (D, anti-codon, and T loops). NCBI's taxonomy places the organism in Bacteria, Bacillati, Bacillota, Bacilli, Lactobacillales, Aerococcaceae. The record is from Rfam.
GCACCAGUAGCUCAACGGGAUAGAGCUCUCGCCUCCUAAGCGAAAAAUGAUGGUUCGAGUCCGUCCUGGUGUA